UCUUUUUUUUUUUUUUCAUUUUUUUGGUCUAAUGUGCAGAUUAGAGUGUCAUCAAAUAAAUUGCACAUUAGACCAAAAAAAUGGUUACAUAAUUUAGUAAGUAUAUAAGAAAUCAUCAAUUUAGUAAGAAUAGCAUCUUAUUUUUGAAGCGAACAUAAUUUAUUCCAUCAAAACGAUCCAGUUUCACGAACUCUUUAUUCAUUGGAGAAAUUGUCUUGGACUCUAUUGCUAUUAAUACCUUAAAAUUAUUAUGAUAGUGGGUGUAGAAUAGGUUUUUAGACAUGAUAAUCACUAUUUUUUAAGGUAUUAAUUGCCUUAGCUAGAUUACUACAAGGUUAUAGCAAUAUACCUCUAGUAUACCACUAAGCCAAAAAUCUACAAACAAUAACUUCUGAAAAUUUCCCUUAAGAACUUUUUAUGAACUAGAUUUAGAGAAACAAGUCCCUUAAGAACUUUUUAUGAACUAGAUUUAGAGAAACAAG
Molecule: unclassified non-coding RNA, 482 nt
Filed under: Hevea brasiliensis (rubber tree)
Lineage: Eukaryota; Viridiplantae; Streptophyta; Magnoliopsida; Malpighiales; Euphorbiaceae
Source: RNAcentral